This 253-nucleotide ribosomal RNA is filed under the name uncultured bacterium. Its description in RNAcentral is "partial 16S ribosomal RNA". It matches the Rfam family "Bacterial small subunit ribosomal RNA", at positions 524 to 776 of the family's 1533-position model. The record is from RNAcentral.
UACAGAGGGUGCGAGCGUUAAUCGGAAUUACUGGGCGUAAAGGGCGCGUAGGCGGUUAUAUAAGAGUGAUGUGAAAGCCCUGGGCUUAACCUGGGAAGUGCAUCGCUGACUGUAUAACUGGAGUUUAGGAGAGGGUGGUGGAAUUUCCGGUGUAGCGGUGAAAUGCGUAGAGAUCGGAAGGAACGUCGAUGGCGAAGGCAGCCACCUGGCCAAAAACUGACGCUGAGGCGCGAAAGCGUGGGGAGCAAACAGG